GUAAACUCCAUCCAAGGCUAAAUACUGGCACGAGUCCGAUAGUAGACAAGUACCGUGAGGGAAAGUUGAAAAGUACUCUGAAGAGAGAGUAAAUAGUACGUGAAACCGAUUGCAGGGAAGGCUUGGAGAAUUCUCGCUCGGAGCCUUGCUGUGUGUUGGGCACGCUGACGAGCCUGGAAAUGGAUUUGACAUCAGGACCUUCUUGUGUCUGUGGGAGGGCCACGCUGACGGAGAGCUUGCCUACUCGAAGUCCAUCUCCGAGCCUGGAAAUGGUUUGGCGCAUUCGUGCGGUCCAAAGUGGGUGGUAAACUCCAUCCAAGUUUGUGGACAGGACAAUGUGAUACUGGCACGAGUCCGAUAUCGCGAGCGCCAAGCUUCAUGCUUGGAGAACGAGUCCGAUAGCACGAAACCCAAAGGCGCAAUGAAAGUGAAUGACUGUUUUUGCAGUCUGGGGCAUGCGCGCCCACCCGAAGUCCAGCUCCGAUU
RNAcentral lists this ribosomal RNA (486 nucleotides) under Spicocleidus sp. 1 AA-2014. Its description in RNAcentral is "eukaryotic LSU rRNA". It matches the Rfam family "Eukaryotic large subunit ribosomal RNA", at positions 299 to 766 of the family's 3401-position model. Lineage: Eukaryota; Metazoa; Platyhelminthes; Monogenea; Dactylogyridea; Dactylogyridae. The record is from RNAcentral.